Molecule: non-coding RNA, 45 nt
Filed under: Trichobilharzia regenti
Lineage: Eukaryota; Metazoa; Platyhelminthes; Trematoda; Strigeidida; Schistosomatidae
Source: RNAcentral
AUCUUGUUGACGAACCCCAAAUAGGACGAAAUGCGCAUCCUGGAU